Long non-coding RNA from Anopheles stephensi (Asian malaria mosquito), 593 nucleotides. RefSeq lists it as uncharacterized. The record is from RefSeq and is a predicted model, not a curated record. Lineage: Eukaryota; Metazoa; Arthropoda; Insecta; Diptera; Culicidae. The transcript has 2 exons.
UUGUGGCAGAAGUGGAAAACAAGCACUUCAAGCGCUCCCACUACAGGGAAGCGAACGCUCGGUAGGAAGGGAUUCACAGCUCAGGGUCGAACCAAUUGAUAUAAAAAUACUGACAGUAGCACAGUAUCACACAUGCUUUUAGCCAGACCCGCACUCAGCAAGAGUCUUACGGACCUCCAAUCGCUUGUUUGAACAACUUCCUGAACGUUUUCUAAUGAAUGAUCAAAUUGUACGCCAACCCAACAAAGACCUAGUACAAUAAAUCAUGGCUUAUCGAGAAUUUAUUGCACCAUUUACUGGCAUAACAACUGCUCAUGCUGCUGGGCCGGCUAAUGUCGGCAGAAAUGUCGUACGGCUAGAUUGGUAUCGAUUGCGGAGUGACGAUGCACAUAUUGCAGCGAGCACUUACGGGUUCGUGCGCUUCAUGUCAACAGGCAAUAUUGUAGCAGCCCCACACGAUGAAGCGUUGAAUAAUGUGAAAAUGUGUAAAAUAUUGACGGCCGGCUGUGUAAAUAGAACUCAAUUUUAAAUCAAGGCAGGUUUUGUGAUAAUCAUCAGUGAAAUAAAGCUUCGUUAAAAACUUGAGAUUGUAU